Molecule: ribosomal RNA, 547 nt
Filed under: uncultured bacterium
Lineage: Bacteria
Description: bacterial SSU rRNA
Rfam family: Bacterial small subunit ribosomal RNA
Source: RNAcentral
UGGGGAAUAUUGCGCAAUGGGGGGAACCCUGACGCAGCCAUGCCGCGUGAAUGAAGAAGGCCUUAGGGUUGUAAAGUUCUUUCGGUAUUGAGGAAGGCUGAUGUGUUAAUAGCACAUCAAAUUGACGUUAAAUACAGAAGAAGCACCGGCUAACUCCGUGCCAGCAGCCGCGGUAAUACGGAGGGUGCGAGCGUUAAUCGGAAUAACUGGGCGUAAAGGGCACGCAGGCGGUUAUUUAAGUGAGGUGUGAAAGCCCCGGGCUUAACCUGGGAAUUGCAUUUCAGACUGGGUAACUAGAGUACUUUAGGGAGGGGUAGAAUUCCACGUGUAGCGGUGAAAUGCGUAGAGAUGUGGAGGAAUACCGAAGGCGAAGGCAGCCCCUUGGGAAUGUACUGACGCUCAUGUGCGAAAGCGUGGGGAGCNAACAGGAUUAGAUACCCUGGUAGUCCACGCUGUAAACGCUGUCGAUUUGGGGGGUGGGGUUUAACUCUGGCGCCCGUAGCUAACGUGAUAAAUCGACCGCCUGGGGAGUACGGCCGCANGGUUA